UACGUAGGUGGCAAGCGUUGUCCGGAUUCACUGGGCGUAAAGCGCGCGCAGGCGGUCUUCUACGCCUGGGGUGAAAACCCGGGGCUCAACCCCGGGACUGCCUUGGAUACGGGGAGACUUGAGGAUCGGAGAGGCAAGGGGAAUUCCACGUGUAGCGGUGAAAUGCGUAGAGAUGUGGAGGAACACCUGUGGCGAAGGCGCCUUGCUGGCCGAUUUCUGACGCUGAGGCGCGAAAGCGUGGGGAGCAAACAGG
Molecule: ribosomal RNA, 253 nt
Filed under: uncultured bacterium
Lineage: Bacteria
Description: partial 16S ribosomal RNA
Rfam family: Bacterial small subunit ribosomal RNA
Source: RNAcentral